RNAcentral lists this ribosomal RNA (267 nucleotides) under uncultured bacterium. RNAcentral's name for it is "partial 16S ribosomal RNA". It matches the Rfam family "Bacterial small subunit ribosomal RNA", at positions 793 to 1055 of the family's 1533-position model. The record is from RNAcentral.
GUCCACGCCGUAAACUAUGGGUGCUAGCCGUCAGGAAGCUUGCUUUUUGGUGGCGCAGCUAACGCAUUAAGCACCCCGCCUGGGGAGUACGGUCGCAAGAUUAAAACUCAAAGGAAUUGACGGGGGCCCCGCACAAGCGGUGGAGCAUGUGGUUUAAUUCGAAGCAACGCGCAGAACCUUACCUACCCUUGACAUGUCCAGUAUGGGCUCCGGAGACGGGGUUCUUCAGUUCGGCUGGCUGGAACACAGGUGCUGCAUGGCUGUCGU